Molecule: ribosomal RNA, 334 nt
Filed under: Dunaliella salina
Lineage: Eukaryota; Viridiplantae; Chlorophyta; Chlorophyceae; Chlamydomonadales; Dunaliellaceae
Description: bacterial SSU rRNA
Rfam family: Bacterial small subunit ribosomal RNA
Source: RNAcentral
AGGCAGCAGCGGUAAUAAGGAGGGGGUUAGCGUUGUUAGGAAUUAAUGGGCGUAAAGAGCACGUAGGCGGAUCGGAAAGUUGGGGGUGAAAUACCGGGGCUCAACCCCGGAACUGCCUCCAAAACUAUAGGUCUGGAGUUCGAGAGAGGUGAGUGGAAUUAUGAGUGUAGAGGUGAAAUUAGUAGAUAUUAGGAGGAACACCAGUAGCGAAGGCGGCUCACUGGAUCGAUACUGAAGCUGAGGUGCGAAAGUAUGGGGAGCAAACAGGAUUAGAUACACUGGUAGUACACACCGUAAACGGUGAAUGCGAGAAGUCGGGCAGCAUGAUUAGUAG